AGAUUACCUCCGAUUUUAUGAUAAUGAUAAAAUAAAAAUCAGAAUAUGCUAUACAGUUGAAAAUUUUUACAACACCAACACCAGGAAGUGGGCGAAACAUUGAAAAACAACUAUUUGAACAAGUGGUCAUUUAUAAAUGCAUCUUGCGCCCUGGAAUUGAGUCGCCUAAAGAAGAUUGGUAGGCACUCUUGCUUAAGGUGGUUCUGCAUACUUGGUUACCUGCUGGAGAAGCACUGCUUCAAGUGAUUGCCAUCCAACUGCUGUCACCAGUAUCAUGGAAAUAUUGUAUUGUAUGAGGACACCAUGAUGAAGAUGCAAUAUUUCGUUUGAAGACUUUCUGACACAGCCUGCAGUGACCGGUCCCAAAAAGAGAUUUAAAAUACUCUCAUGGGUUGUCUCAACAGUGAACUUAAAAAGAACUAAAAUAUAACUGGAAUUUGGAGUGGAGUCUACAGUCCAGACCUGGCCCUGAGUGAUUACAACCUAUAUCCAAAAAUGAAAAAAAGACAUACGGGGUAAAAAUUUGCCACCGAUGAAGUCAAAGAUGCAGUUUCGGCGUGUUUUGAAGACAAAGACCAAACAUUUUUAUGUAUAAAUAAAUUAAUUGAAACAUCUGAAAAAUGUAUCCAUUUUGCAGAUGAAUAUAUGAAAAGGAA
Molecule: long non-coding RNA, 656 nt
Organism: Vanessa tameamea
Lineage: Eukaryota; Metazoa; Arthropoda; Insecta; Lepidoptera; Nymphalidae
Exons: 6
Source: RefSeq, a predicted model, not a curated record